UCCAAUGUAAAUUCUCUAUAUUUUAUCCAUGUACUCUUUUGAUGUAUAGAAGUAGUUUGAAACUCAUUGUUUCCUUGUGGUAACUGACCGAGAUGCUGCCACAGGACCUGAGACACUGAUGAAUGGUGCUAUUUUGGACUUUCAACAUGCUCCUUGGCGAGGUAGCUCUGAUGGAGUUAUUUUUUAUUUCCAUGUUCUAAGAAGGUGUUGGUACUCUGUUUCCCUGAAUGUUGUUCUCUAGACUGGAUUGACUUGUUUUCCUUGUGUCUUCAGUGUGGCUUUCUUCCUCAGUGUUGUAGGUUGAGUGAAUGCUACCAGAGUGUGAGAGACGAUUGUCUCGUCGGCUGGCACCCACAGACAUGCAGUCACGGUAGUGGGAGCAAUCACAAAACUGUAAUUUACUUACCAAAACACUGGCAUCUGAGUAGGAAUAUGAAAAUGACACCUUUUCCAAAUAUUAAAUUGGAAAACAAUGUCUACAAAAUCAUGGUACUUUUUUAAAAGGCAGAGCAUUCUUUUUUGGCAAUUUUGAUAAGCAAGGUGUAGAUUUACAUCUUUGUCCUUGCUCCCAACGAAAUGGAUAAACAAAAAUAAAUUACCAUCUACUCAUGGAAUGUUGUUGUGUUAGCCAGUCUGAAAGCCCACCUUAAUUUUUAUAUAACUGUCUUUUAGCUCUUCUUUUGACAGGGCAGGCCUUGUUCUGAACUGUUUCGCUUCUGACUGUUAAACACCGAUGACGCAUGCACUGCACUUCUUUGUUUUCUUCUUGCUCCCCCAUUGGCCUGAGUUUCUUGUGCAUUACUCCUCUCCCUCCUUUGUUAGAAUAGGUAUAUCAGCUGUGUAAAUAGAGCAAGAAAACAGUAUUCUGCAUCUGUGGCAUUUAUGUAUUUUAGCUAUUUUAGUAGUAUUUGUUCAAUAAAUAUGCAAGCUGUAAGGUAAAAAAAAAAAAAAAAUUAAAGCAUGAUUACAUGGGAGUGUUGCUUCCCAUGU
This 990-nucleotide long non-coding RNA is filed under the name Homo sapiens (human). Its description in RNAcentral is "HSALNT0346830". The record is from RNAcentral. Lineage: Eukaryota; Metazoa; Chordata; Mammalia; Primates; Hominidae.